GCAUAUCAAUAAGCGGAGGAAAAGAAACCAACAGGGAUUGCCUCAGUAACGGCGAGUGAAGCGGCAAGAGCUCAAAUUUGAAAUCUGGCUCCGUUCGGGGUCCGAGUUGUAAUUUGGAGAGGAUGCUUCGGGACUGGCCCCCAUCUAAGUGCCCUGGAACGGGCCGUCAUAGAGGGUGAGAAUCCCGUCUGGGAUGGGUGGCCUGGCCCGUGUGAAGCUCCUUCGACGAGUCGAGUUGUUUGGGAAUGCAGCUCUAAAUGGGUGGUAAAUUUCAUCUAAAGCUAAAUAUUGGCCGGAGACCGAUAGCGCACAAGUAGAGUGAUCGAAAGAUGAAAAGCACUUUGAAAAGAGAGUUAAACAGCACGUGAAAUUGUUGAAAGGGAAGCGCUUGCAACCAGACUCGCCCGGGGGGGCUCAACCGGCACUCGUGCCGGUGCACUCCCCCCCGGGCGGGCCAGCGUCGGUUUGGGCGGUCGGUCAAAGGUCCCCGGAAUGUAUCACCUCUCGGGGUGUCUUAUAGCCGGGGGUGCAAUGCGACCAGCCCGGACCGAGGAACGCGCUUCGGCUCGGACGCUGGCGUAAUGGUUGUAAGCGGCCCGUCUUGAAACACGGACC
RNAcentral lists this ribosomal RNA (615 nucleotides) under Sagenomella griseoviridis. RNAcentral describes it as "eukaryotic LSU rRNA". It matches the Rfam family "Eukaryotic large subunit ribosomal RNA", at positions 38 to 667 of the family's 3401-position model. The record is from RNAcentral. Lineage: Eukaryota; Fungi; Ascomycota; Eurotiomycetes; Eurotiales; Trichocomaceae. RNAcentral also lists the same sequence under 1 other name.